Molecule: ribosomal RNA, 253 nt
Filed under: uncultured bacterium
Lineage: Bacteria
Description: partial 16S ribosomal RNA
Rfam family: Bacterial small subunit ribosomal RNA
Source: RNAcentral
UACGUAGGAGGCGAGCGUUGUCCGGAUUUACUGGGCGUAAAGCGCGCGCAGGCGGACUGAUCAGUCUGGGGUGAAAUCUCACGGCUCAACUGUGAGCGGUCCCUGGAUACUGUCAGUCUUGAGAUGUCUAGAGGAGAGCGGAAUUCCCGGUGUAGUGGUGGAAUGCGUAGAUAUCGGGAAGAACACCAGUGGCGAAAGCGGCUCUCUGGGGACCAUCUGACGCUGAGGCGCGAAAGCGUGGGGAGCGAACCGG